Molecule: non-coding RNA, 177 nt
Filed under: Aquitalea magnusonii
Lineage: Bacteria; Pseudomonadati; Pseudomonadota; Betaproteobacteria; Neisseriales; Chromobacteriaceae
Source: RNAcentral
CAUGCCCGCUUCCAUGACGGUGCCCCAUCGGGGUGAAACGGGAAUGCGGUGAGACACCGCAGCUGCCCCCGCAACUGUAAGCGACGAGUCCGCAUCACAUGCCACCGGCCCAUCCGGGAAGGCGAUGCCGGGUAAAGAAGCGCGAGCCAGGAGACCGGCCGUCAUACGUGUCGACGC